AUUGAACGCUGGCGGCAUGCCUUACACAUGCAAGUCGAACGGCAGCACGGGAGCAAUCCUGGUGGCGAGUGGCGAACGGGUGAGUAAUAUAUCGGAACGUGCCCAGUCGUGGGGGAUAACGUAGCGAAAGCUACGCUAAUACCGCAUACGAUCUAUGGAUGAAAGCGGGGGAUCGCAAGACCUCGCGCGAUUGGAGCGGCCGAUAUCAGAUUAGGUAGUUGGUGAGGUAAAGGCUCACCAAGCCGACGAUCUGUAGCUGGUCUGAGAGGACGACCAGCCACACUGGGACUGAGACACGGCCCAGACUCCUACGGGAGGCAGCAGUGGGGAAUUUUUGGACAAUGGGCGGCAAGCCUGAUCCAGCAAU
Molecule: ribosomal RNA, 367 nt
Filed under: uncultured bacterium
Lineage: Bacteria
Description: bacterial SSU rRNA
Rfam family: Bacterial small subunit ribosomal RNA
Source: RNAcentral